Molecule: small RNA, 28 nt
Filed under: Bombyx mori (domestic silkworm)
Lineage: Eukaryota; Metazoa; Arthropoda; Insecta; Lepidoptera; Bombycidae
Description: ovarian small RNA-10256
Source: RNAcentral
AACAUAAUCAAACACGUGUAGCCACUGG